UACGUAGGUGGCAAGCGUUAUCCGGAAUUACUGGGCGUAAAGCGCACGCAGGCGGCUCGUCAAGUUCGACGUGAAAGCUCCCGGCUUAACUGGGAGAGGUCGUUGAAAACUGGCGAGCUUGAGGCAAUGAGAGGGGUGUAGAAUUCCCGGUGUAGCGGUGAAAUGCGUAGAGAUGUGGAGGAACACCGAUGGCGAAGGCAGCCUUCUGGGCCAACACUGACGCUCAUGCACGAAAGCGUGGGGAGCAAACAGG
This 253-nucleotide ribosomal RNA is filed under the name uncultured bacterium. RNAcentral's name for it is "partial 16S ribosomal RNA". It matches the Rfam family "Bacterial small subunit ribosomal RNA", at positions 524 to 776 of the family's 1533-position model. The record is from RNAcentral.